CAAUAGCGUAUAUUUAAGUUGUUGCAGUUAAAAAGCUCGUAGUUGGAUUUCGGGUGUGAACGACCGGUCCGUCUUUGAUGUGUACUGGUUGGUUGCGCCUUAUUGUCGAGGACGUGGUUCUAGCUUUCAUUAGCCGGGACACGGAGUCGGCAGCGUUACUUUGAGAAAAUUAGAGUGUUCAAAGCAGGCUAUCGCUCUGAAUACUACAGCAUGGAAUAACACGAUAGGACUCCGAGCCUAUUCUGUUGGUCUGUAGGACCGGAGUAAUGAUUAAGAGGGACAGUCGGGGGCAUUCGUAUUUCAUUGUCAGAGGUGAAAUUCUUGGAUUUAUGAAAGACGAACUACUGCGAAAGCAUUUGCCAAGGAUGUUUUCAUUAA
RNAcentral lists this ribosomal RNA (378 nucleotides) under uncultured eukaryote. Its description in RNAcentral is "partial 18S ribosomal RNA". It matches the Rfam family "Eukaryotic small subunit ribosomal RNA", at positions 592 to 976 of the family's 1831-position model. The record is from RNAcentral.